Molecule: long non-coding RNA, 478 nt
Organism: Chiroxiphia lanceolata (lance-tailed manakin)
Lineage: Eukaryota; Metazoa; Chordata; Aves; Passeriformes; Pipridae
Exons: 3
Source: RefSeq, a predicted model, not a curated record
GCUUGGGUUUUCCAAGGGAUCGUUCCUUAAGCGAUCCCAAAACUCCCAGCAGAGAGGGAUUGGGAAAGAACUUCCUGGUGGGAUUGGGAAAGAACUUCCUGGUGGGAUUGGGGAAGAACUUCCUGGUGGGAUUGGGAAAGAACUUCCUGGUGGGAUUGGGAAAGAACUUCCUGGUGGGAUUGGGAAAGAAUUUCCUGGUGGGAUUGGGAAAGAACUUCCUGGUGGGAUUGGGAAAGAACUUCGUGGUGGGAUUGGGAAAGAACUUCCUGGUGGGAUUGGGAAGGAACUUCCUGGCGGGAUUGGGAAAGAACUUCCUGGUGGGAUUGGGAAAGAACUUCCUGGUGGGAUUGGGAAAGAACUUCCUGGUGGGACUGGGAAAGAACUUCCUGGAGGGAUUGGGAAGGAACUUCCUGGUGGGAUUGGGAAAGAACUUCCUGGUGGGAUUGGGAAAGAACUUCCUGGUGGGAUUGGGGGGAGC